RNAcentral lists this ribosomal RNA (393 nucleotides) under Triticum aestivum (bread wheat). Its description in RNAcentral is "partial small subunit ribosomal RNA". Lineage: Eukaryota; Viridiplantae; Streptophyta; Magnoliopsida; Poales; Poaceae. The record is from RNAcentral.
AUGACCUGCUCACCGAGAUCCUCCUCCGCCUCCCCCCGCUGCCGUCCUCACUCCCCCGCGCCUCUGCCGUCUGCACGCGUUGGUGCCGCCUCGUCUCCGACGGUCCGACCCCAAAUUCUUCCUCCGCUUCCGCUUCCGCAACCGCCGCAACCCUCCCCUCAUCGGUUUCCUCCUCAUGAAGGAGGGCAUGUGUCGUGUCUCCUUCGAACAUUCUCUGGACGCCCCCAAUCGUGUCCCCACGAAGCGAUUCUCCAUGAAGUACGACGACGGCGACCAGAUCGCCAACUGCCGCCAUGGCCUCGUGCUCAUCUUCCCCCGCGAGCGGGACCAGGUCCUGGUGUGGGACCCUGUCACGGGCGACCAGCACCGCAUUGCCGUUCCCUCGUGGCUUGA